CCCUUAGAUGUUCUGGGCCGCACGCGUGCUACACUGAACGGUUCAAUGGGUAAGGUAGUGCGAAAGCAUGACCUAAUCUCGAAAUCCGUUCGUGCUGGGGAUAGAAGCUUGCAAUUAUCCUUCUUGAACGAGGAAUACCUUGUAAGCGUGAGUCAUCAUCUCACGCUGAAUACGUCCCUGCCCUUUGUACACACUGCCCGUCGCUCCUACCGAUUGAGUGUUCCGGUGAGGCUUUGGGAGAAUGGCCUCAACAUGAGUUUAUCGUGUUUUGCCGUUUGAACUUAGUCAAACCUUAUCACUUAGAGGAAGGAGAAGUCGUAACA
Molecule: ribosomal RNA, 323 nt
Filed under: uncultured eukaryote
Lineage: Eukaryota
Description: partial 18S ribosomal RNA
Rfam family: Eukaryotic small subunit ribosomal RNA
Source: RNAcentral